This is a long non-coding RNA of Thalassophryne amazonica, 219 nucleotides long. RefSeq lists it as uncharacterized. The record is from RefSeq and is a predicted model, not a curated record. Lineage: Eukaryota; Metazoa; Chordata; Actinopteri; Batrachoidiformes; Batrachoididae. The transcript is spliced from 3 exons.
GGAUUGGGAGAAAUCAAAAUAGAACUUUUUUGGUAAAAACUCAACUCACCGUGUUUGGAGGAAGAAGAAUGCUGAGUUGCAUUCCAAGAACACCAUAUCUUCUAUGAAGCAUGGUGGUGGAAACUUCAUGCAUUGGGGCUGUUUGUCUGCAAAUGGGACAGGAUGACUGAUCUGUGUUAAGGGAAGAAUGAAUGUGGCCAUUUAUUGUAAAAAUUUGAU